This 947-nucleotide ribosomal RNA is filed under the name Salmonella enterica subsp. enterica serovar Typhimurium. RNAcentral describes it as "partial 23S ribosomal RNA". It matches the Rfam family "Bacterial large subunit ribosomal RNA", at positions 684 to 1547 of the family's 2925-position model. Lineage: Bacteria; Pseudomonadati; Pseudomonadota; Gammaproteobacteria; Enterobacterales; Enterobacteriaceae. The record is from RNAcentral.
UUAAUUGGGCGUUAAGUUGCAGGGUAUAGACCCGAAACCCGGUGAUCUAGCCAUGGGCAGGUUGAAGGUUGGGUAACACUAACUGGAGGACCGAACCGACUAAUGUUGAAAAAUUAGCGGAUGACCUGUGGCUGGGGGUGAAAGGCCAAUCAAACCGGGAGAUAGCUGGUUCUCCCCGAAAGCUAUUUAGGUAGCGCCUCGUGAAUUCAUCUCCGGGGGUAGAGCACUGUUUCGGCUAGGGGGCCAUCCCGGCUUACCAACCCGAUGCAAACUGCGAAUACCGGAGAAUGUUAUCACGGGAGACACACGGCGGGUGCUAACGUCCGUCGUGAAGAGGGAAACAACCCAGACCGCCAGCUAAGGUCCCAAAGUCAUGGUUAAGUGGGAAACGAUGUGGGAAGGCCCAGACAGCCAGGAUGUUGGCUUAGAAGCAGCCAUCAUUUAAAGAAAGCGUAAUAGCUCACUGGUCGAGUCGGCCUGCGCGGAAGAUGUAACGGGGCUAAACCAUGCACCGAAGCUGCGGCAGCGAACGUAUCACCCAAGACAACUUUACGGAGUUGACGAUUGACGGAGCGAAGCGACGUCAAAGCGUUCAUUAAAGUCGAGUUGGCUUAGGGAUACGUUCGUUGGGUAGGGGAGCGUUCUGUAAGCCUGUGAAGGUGUGUCGUGAGGCAUGCUGGAGGUAUCAGAAGUGCGAAUGCUGACAUAAGUAACGAUAAAGCGGGUGAAAAGCCCGCUCGCCGGAAGACCAAGGGUUCCUGUCCAACGUUAAUCGGGGCAGGGUGAGUCGACCCCUAAGGCGAGGCCGAAAGGCGUAGUCGAUGGGAAACGGGUUAAUAUUCCCGUACUUGGUGUUACUGCGAAGGGGGGACGGAGAAGGCUAUGUUGGCCGGGCGACGGUUGUCCCGGUUUAAGCGUGUAGGUGUGUGUUCCAGGUAAAUCCGGUU